Molecule: non-coding RNA, 74 nt
Organism: Paramuricea clavata
Lineage: Eukaryota; Metazoa; Cnidaria; Anthozoa; Malacalcyonacea; Plexauridae
Source: the annotation of a GenBank genome assembly
ACCCGGUUAGCUCAGUUGGUAGAGCAAUUAGACUUUUAAUCUGAGGGCCGUGGGUUCAAGACCCAUAUCGGGCU